RNAcentral lists this ribosomal RNA (164 nucleotides) under Rheum coreanum. Its description in RNAcentral is "5.8S ribosomal RNA". It matches the Rfam family "5.8S ribosomal RNA". From Rfam's summary of the family: 5.8S ribosomal RNA (5.8S rRNA) is a component of the large subunit of the eukaryotic ribosome. It is transcribed by RNA polymerase I as part of the 45S precursor that also contains 18S and 28S rRNA. The record is from RNAcentral. Lineage: Eukaryota; Viridiplantae; Streptophyta; Magnoliopsida; Caryophyllales; Polygonaceae.
AAAAUGACUAUCGACAACAUAUAUCUAGGCUCCCGCAUCGAUGAAGAACAUAGCGAAAUGUGAUACUUGGUGUGAAUUACAGAAUCCCGUGAAGCAUCGAUUCUUUGAACGCAAGUUUCACCCAAAGCCUUCUGGCUGAGGGCAUGUCUGUCUGGGCGUUAUGC